This is a long non-coding RNA of Alligator sinensis (Chinese alligator), 6011 nucleotides long. RefSeq lists it as uncharacterized. NCBI's taxonomy places the organism in Eukaryota, Metazoa, Chordata, Crocodylia, Alligatoridae. The transcript is spliced from 2 exons. The record is from RefSeq and is a predicted model, not a curated record.
GAAGCAAAUACUCUGCUUCUCACGCGGGGCGGAGGGGUGUUUACUGGUGAGUUUAGUGAAAGAAAGGGUCCCUGCUUUACGUCUCUGUUGAGGUGCCAAGGGAAAGAAGAGUGGUUCUAGGCCAGGCCCAUUCCCUAUAUCCAAUUAGUUUAAGGCUUCCUCUGGAGGCUGCCCUGGAGGGAUGUGCUCUCAGCUAGGCCCCCUACCUUUGUACCCCACCCCACAAAGGAGUUCAGCUGCAUCAGGGUCAACCUUUGGUGUUCCAGAAGCUGAUGGAGGGGCUUGCCUGGGUUUUUUUGUUUUGAAGGGUAUAGGAAGAGGAGAUGGACCCUCUCAGUCCAGUGUGUGAGGAGCUCUGCAGCUCAGGGGCUGGCUUCUGAUUCUGCCUCAGCCUCUCUCCUAGCAAAGAACCUUGCUGGCUGCUGCACCUUGGAGAAUACCCCUGUUUGUAAGGGAGAUUGACACGGUACCCCCGACUGAUCUGUGCAGCAGUCUCUCAAAGCUCUGCCUUGUGCUGACUAAGAAGGGAAGUGAGCAGAUGGGUACAUAAGCACAGAAAGUCCUAAAGGAAAUCCCAGGAAGAAAUAGUGUCUCUUUACAUCUUGCCUUGGAGUCUCUCUCUCUCUCUCCUUUGCCUAAUCUUGGUCUACAUCAAUAUCCUGCUUGCUUAUUUUACCUGCUUCAUUGUGUUCACAUGGUAGGCAGCACUUCCCUUGGGCUUGAUUAUAUAGACUAGUCACUAGAUGUUUUCCUGCUUUAUAUUAACUCUUACUUUCCUCUCUACAUUUCAAUUUCCUCAUUUUCACCUUGUCCUGAAUUCUUUCUAAACUUCCCAUAUAUAGAAGGAGUUCAUUAUGACCACUGAUUAGACAUCAUUGCCACCUUGCUCAGUAGGUCCUACCUGAGUCGCCGAAGGCUCAUUCUUGUUCUUGGCAAUAUGUGGGGGAGUCAAGUGCACGCUCCUUCACCUGUUACUUCUUCCUUCCUCUGAAAUGCAUGGCACUCCCACCAUGGAUGCCAGCAGAUGUCUCCUGCAGCUCAGGAAUUAAAAUGUGUGGCGUUUCCCUGUAGCCAGCAUGGGCUGAAUUUAAUAUAUAAGCAUUUCUUGCCUCCUGUUGGUCCAGAUAGGGUGGGUAUGACAAAACUUGCACUUUUCCUAUAUUCAAUUAUUUUACUUUGUGGCACUCCAAAGUGCUUGAUUUAACGCUGCAGGUGAUGCAUACAAAGUCAAUAAAUCUGAGGGAUGCUUAAAGAGUAAUUAGAAACUCAGUCGAUUUGGCCCUGAGAUGUGCUAAAAAAUAGGAAACAGUAAUAUUGAAAGAGCCUAGUAUGGGACACGCCCAGUCCAGAUAGGAUCAUUGGGAAGGAAAACCGACUCCUACAAUACCAUUUGACUUGGAACAGAUACGUAAAUAACUACACACACUACAGCAGUGUUAUGCUGUACACCAGAGGCCACUGUACUGCGUUUAGAGUAACAUGAGCCCAAUACUAAAAACACUGUUGUGCCUCUAUGAAUUGCACCCAUUAGUGAGAUGGGGAGUUGCCAGAUUACAAAGCAGACAUGCCGGGCAGGGUGUUUCUGGUGGCAUUAACCUGAGUGGAACUACUGUUCUGUAUGUUUGUCAAACACGGCGGGCCUUCAGAUGUUGGUAACAAUGACAACAUUAAUCCAAACUUACUAUUUUAUGUACAACAUUAACUUAUAGUUAAACCACUCCUUCCCAUUAAUAUUCGGCUCAUUCCUCACAUAUCUACAUCUUCUUGUUCAGCUUCACUUUUGCCAUUGCCGCUGCAUUCCACAGACUCCUAUUCUUUCACUACCCUCCUUUUCUUAGGUUGCCCUGUUUGCCACAGUGUUUUUUUCACUAGCACUUUUUUUUGGAGUAUCUUCUUGUGCAUCUAAAACUUAGAUUUCUAUUCCAUUUUCCUGUGUUUAAAGUCUCCCCUUGUGCAACAGUGAUUUUGUAAACUGAACAAUUUAAAUCAGAAUUCCUUCUGGAACAGAUUUCUCCCUUCCUGAGCCCUACCCUAAAUCUCCCCCAUUUCUCUCAGAGUAAAAAAGUCUUGAGGAAAUUUGUAGUUUGUUGCUAAACUCUGUUUUUUUCCAUUAUUAAUUAUUCCUGUUGACAGGGAUGAAACAUUACAAUGAGAUCCGUCGGUCUGCUGGAGGCCUGGGCAGAGGUAAUGGCACCCUGGGUGCUCUGUGUGCUGUCAGCAUUUCCACAGAGCUGAGAUUCAACUACGCUGCAACUAGAGUGCUUCCAUGCUGAAAUAGGUCGUCUCCUUCAGCCUUUUCAGGCAGCAACCCUUCAUUCUGAUGUUGUCUCACUUGAAUUAAAUGAUGUGGAAAACAAAGCUAAGUUGCAUCUCGUUCUGCGCUUGCAGAGCCAUGUGACUCUACCUUUCCCUCACGUUUUCCUGGGGUAACUCCUAGCACAGUGCUGCAAUGUUCCAAGUCUAUAGCCUUACCUCUUACUGCUCAGAUCUUAGAUGUCAGAUAAUUUCCAGGUGCUUUAAAAAGUCAGAGAUCCACUUCCCAUAGUCUGCCUUGGUUUGCAGGUGGGUUGCUUUGUCCCUGUCAUUCCUUCCAGUUUUGGCUGCUCUUGUAGUCAGAGGCCUUCCAGCAGUGUAAGCCUGAAACACUCCUCUUUAGCAAAGGGGUUUUUGUUGUUGUUGUGUUUGUGUUUUGUGGGGAGGGAGGUGUUUAGAGUUUCAGACUCCCUUUGAGGUGCAUCUUCUGCAGCCAGGUGCUCUGCAUUCUUGGAAAAGGUGAGUAGGUUUUGAGAGGUGGAUGGAAGCAAAAUAAUCUGCUAUAUCCCUUUAGAGCCCAGGGUUCAGAGUGCCAUCUUGUCCUGUCUACUUUAAUUUUUCUAAAAUUCUACUAAUUAGUGAAAAUCCAGGUGAUGAUGCCUCCUUUUGAUAUUGUAUCCUCAAACGUAACAUUAAUGUACAUAAGGGAAUGUUCAUCCAGGAAGAAACAAGCUGAAUAUGGCCAAAGGGCUCUGUAGUGUACAAGGUAAGCAAACAGCAAAUAAAGUGCCUCUAAUACCUAUUGCUUCUAGUCAUCCUAAGUGCUGCUUUUCACUAGAGAAGCUUGGCCAUGCUCCUUUAACAGGUCUGGUUCUCCCUGCAGCUGCCAUCACGUGGGACCUGCAGAACACAGGAUGAGCAGGCUUGGCAGAACAAUUCCAGAUUUGCUAUUCUGCAGCUGCAAAGGAGCUCUCUCAUUGUCACGGUUCUGAUUGUGUAAACCAGAUGAGUGAUGGCCCAGCACCUGUUCCAUGCAGCUAAUCCCCACCCUCUUGGGCUGACAUUGUCUUUGCCUGCAGUGUUAUCUUAAUAUGUUAAAUGGUAAGCUUCUCUAGGGGGGACCUUUUCUUAUCCGCUGCCUUCUAGGCACGCCAUGCGCAGCAGUCACGCUCAGUGAGGAUGGUGUGAACGCACCCUCCCGUCUCAUUAUUCCUUUUACCUUUGCUCAUUUAAGGCUCUCUGUUCGAGAACAGAGCCGUCCUGCUUUUCAAGGGGCAGCUGCUUUUACAAAAUUCAAUCCGACAGCGUCUGCCCUCCCAGGUGUCACCAUGGUAACACAACCCAGGGGGAAACUCAGAUGUGUUGCUUAGCAACGUGAUGCUCUUGACUGCAGCUGCUGCUUCAGUUCAUUGAAAUGAUGGAGAAUUGGGAUUUGUUGGAAUCUGUUCUCUGUGGCAUGAGAUGUCAGGAGUGGAUGGAGGGAGACGAGAAGGAGCAGGGCAGAGAGAGAAAUAAAUAAAGAUGUAUAAAUGUUUAACCAUCAUUACGCAGUGGUUUGGAAUGAAAGCCCCUGGCUGGCUGCUACUACAGCUACGCUGCAUCCACAGUAAAGUCUAUUCUGAAUGAGUUCCCACUGUGCAUCCUGCCCCAUUCAUGUGGUAUGUUUUACAGUUGAGUUGAAUGCAGAGAUGCUCCAGGCUGGACGUGUAGUAUUGGCGUUUUUGCGCUCUCAGGAUUUCAUGAGAGAUUCAACAGCCUCUUUCAACACAGAAUCACUUAUAGUUGGGCUACUUUUAAUAAGCAUUUCAAUUAACGUGAAGCCAGUGAAAGGAGGGUAUUUGACAGCCAGAGAGAGGCAUGACUGCUCCUGACCCAACAGAACAAAUGGAGAAAACUUGUACAGGUUACCUGUUUUGUUUCAUUUUUUUUUAAUAGAAAUAGGGCAAGACUGAUUUCCUCUUUUUUUCUAGCAGAAGGGUUUUCCCUGCUUCUCCUUAGUGAAGCCUGAAAUGUCCUUUCAUUUUUCUUGUUAUUUGCAUUCUGGUAGUGCCUACAAGGCAACCAAGAUUGCAGCCCGUUGUACAAAUGAGAGUACUAGAUAUUCACUACAACAUUUCUAGUCUGCAGAGAAAACAAACAGAGUUUUGGAAAGCAAUGGAGCAUGGAAGCAGAGUCAAAACAGUGAUGGCUCUUAUGCCUCCAGAGGAGGACCAUGGGCUCGUUCCUGCACAGUUGGCUUCAUCUGUGUCUUAUCGCAGCCCAUUCACCAAGACUGCAGUACCUGAGGAGGCACCUCCUUCCCUUAGCUUCUACCAGCUAGAAUUUGUCUGGACCUCAGAGCUGGCUCUGCCCCAGGGCCUCACAUGCCUCAAAGUAGAGGGCUGCCCUGACAGGGGUGUUAUCUGCUCUACAGCUGGAUUAUGGAGAUGACACAUCAUAACUAACAUCUUCAUGAGUGAUAGAGACAGCAUGAUAUCUUCUCAAUGACACUUGACAGAUGCCCAGAAGAGUUCCUGUUGGGUAUUGCAAGGCGUUCCAUCCCCACAGAGUCUAAACACCGCAUCUUUGUAGUGUACCCCAGCCUCACAGGAGUGGGAAGCUGGAAGCAAAGUCCAAAUGAAUACAUAUGGAAGCUUAAAAAACAGACCAAUGGCUCUAGGAUCUGUUGGACUUGAAAGGGAUACAGUUUAGAAUAGAAGCCAGAGAGAAGAUUUACCUGCCAAACUUACAAAAAUCAGUUACAGACAUAACUACGAAUAAAAUAUUCUGACUCUUUUCAGAGGAUAGACUCUCUCACCGUUUACAACAUUUUAUGUAAAUAUUAUGAGAAAAACAGGUUUCACAAGUUUUGGUAAAAGCAUUUGCUGAUGAGUACUUUUGAAAACAGAGACUGCUUGAGAUGCUUCAACAUAGAGAGGUUUUUUUUGGAUUGUAGGUCUGACAAGGCAGGGAUUUUAUUUUUUCUGUUAUAAAAGUGUUCAGCACAGUGGACCCCCAGUCCUAACUGUGGCACCAUUGGGCAACGCCACAGUAUAAACAUUUACUGAGCUAGAAGGAAGUGCUGCUAAGGGUAGGUUGCUAUAGAACAAAGUGAACAAUAGCGAUAGGAUUAAACAGUUGUCUGAGCUCAGUAUUUUCUACCAGCUAAACAAUUCCUUUUGCAGUAAUUUGGAAUUUCAGUCAUGUUAUUUCAGGCUAACUAUGUAAAUGACUGUUUUAUUUCAAAAAACAAAAGUAAAGAAAAAAACCUUUUUUACUUACACAGCUUUAAUGGUAUAAAGGAGCGUAACAAAAAGUCACCUUAAUUGGAAUGCAUGCUCAUUUAUUAAUCAAAGAAAGGACUCGUACAUUAAAAACUACUGAAACGCUUGACAUUUGAUACCUCAGAAAUGCUGUACAGAAUCAACACUAGAAAGAAAUGCAUUUGACUCAUAACCAAAUGCAUGCUUCAACGAAUGAUACACAGAACUUGAAAGUAGCUUGUAGGCAUCCACACAGUAAUUUUAAUAUAUGAAUGUAGGGUGACAGCUGUGAAUGACAAGCAGCACAACCUUUUCAGGCAUUCUGGAGACCAAGAAACACUAUUUGUUAGCACACUGAGGUAUGAUCACAGAAAUCCCAAGAUGCCAAGUGCAACUGAGUUCAAGUUUUCUUACUGUCUUCCCUUCCUACUAUUAUGCUGUCCUAUUGUAACCAAUAAAAGUAUAUAGUAUUUAUGGAAGAACCUUAAAGGUUUGGAAAUAAACAUUGCACACGCA